RNAcentral lists this transfer RNA (63 nucleotides) under Loxocephala perpunctata. RNAcentral describes it as "tRNA-Leu". Lineage: Eukaryota; Metazoa; Arthropoda; Insecta; Hemiptera; Eurybrachidae. The record is from RNAcentral. RNAcentral also lists the same sequence under 1 other name.
ACUAGUUUGGCAGAAAUAAGUGCUUUAAAUUUAGAAUUUAAUAAUGUUUAAUUACAGUUAGUA